GUUGGCACGAAAGGCAGUGUUGCAAGAGAAAGAAGGAGGGUUUUAGAAAGAUUAUUUAUUAUUUCUUUUUCCACGUGGUUCUUGGAUUUUUAAGAUGCACCAUUUCUACAUCGGUCUGUGUCUGGUGGUUCUGGUGUGCGUGAGCGGGAACGCACACCCAGUUGACUAUGAGAGUGACGAGGCCUUCUUGAGUGAGAAGAUGAGGGAGUAUCUUAUGCUUAGAAAAUUACUUAUAAACGCGUUAAGUGAGAGAACUCCACUUAAAGAAUCCCCGAGGAAGCGUCUCUGCAUGAAUCUAGGAGACCCAAGCUGUUAUGAAUCCAAUAUGGCGGCCAAAGGAGACGAUGCCAAGUUCUUAAUCGGAUCCAACAACCCGGGCAAGUGAGGAAGAGGAGGAGGAAGCAAGAAUUUCAUGAGGUCUUCGUAAAUUAUUAUUAUUAUUAUUACUCUGAUUAUUAUGAUUAUUUAUUGAUGGCUGGGAAUAAUAAUAAUAAUAAUAAUAAUAACAAUAAUAAUAAUAACAAUAAUAAUAAUAAUAAAGAUAUAAUCUGGAUUUGAAGGCUAAAUAAAAGAAUUGAUUAUCGAAAUGUGCAA
This 594-nucleotide long non-coding RNA is filed under the name Portunus trituberculatus (swimming crab). Its description in RNAcentral is "uncharacterized LOC123508256, transcript variant X1". The record is from RNAcentral. Lineage: Eukaryota; Metazoa; Arthropoda; Malacostraca; Decapoda; Portunidae.